RNAcentral lists this ribosomal RNA (158 nucleotides) under Lamium gevorense. Its description in RNAcentral is "5.8S ribosomal RNA". It matches the Rfam family "5.8S ribosomal RNA". From Rfam's summary of the family: 5.8S ribosomal RNA (5.8S rRNA) is a component of the large subunit of the eukaryotic ribosome. It is transcribed by RNA polymerase I as part of the 45S precursor that also contains 18S and 28S rRNA. The record is from RNAcentral. Lineage: Eukaryota; Viridiplantae; Streptophyta; Magnoliopsida; Lamiales; Lamiaceae.
ACGACUCUCGGCAACGGAUAUCUCGGCUCUCGCAUCGAUGAAGAGCGUAGCGAAAUGCGAUACUUGGUGUGAAUUGCAGAAUCCCGUGAACCAUAGAGUCUUUGAACGCAAGUUGCGCCCGAAGCCAUUAGGCCGAGGGCACGUCUGCCUGGGCGUCA